AUGAACGCUGGCGGCGUGCCUAAUACAUGCAAGUCGAGCGAACGGACGAGAAGCUUGCUUCUCUGAUGUUAGCGGCGGACGGGUGAGUAACACGUGGAUAACCUACCUAUAAGACUGGGAUAACUUCGGGAAACCGGAGCUAAUACCGGAUAAUAUUUUGAACCGCAUGGUUCAAAAGUGAAAGACGGUCUUGCUGUCACUUAUAGAUGGAUCCGCGCUGCAUUAGCUAGUUGGUAAGGUAACGGCUUACCAAGGCAACGAUGCAUAGCCGACCUGAGAGGGUGAUCGGCCACACUGGAACUGAGACACGUUCCAGACUCCUACGGGAGGCAGCAGUAGGGAAUCUUCCGCAAUGGGCGAAAGCCUGACGGAGCAACGCCGCGUGAGUGAUGAAGGUCUUCGGAUCGCAAAACUCUGUUAUUAGGGAAGAACAUAUGUGUAAGUAACUGUGCACAUCUUGACGGUACCUAAUCAGAAAGCCACGGCUAACUACGUG
RNAcentral lists this ribosomal RNA (496 nucleotides) under uncultured bacterium. Its description in RNAcentral is "partial 16S ribosomal RNA". It matches the Rfam family "Bacterial small subunit ribosomal RNA", at positions 29 to 507 of the family's 1533-position model. The record is from RNAcentral.